RNAcentral lists this ribosomal RNA (495 nucleotides) under uncultured bacterium. RNAcentral's name for it is "bacterial SSU rRNA". It matches the Rfam family "Bacterial small subunit ribosomal RNA", at positions 15 to 507 of the family's 1533-position model. The record is from RNAcentral.
GAUCCUGGCUCAGAUUGAACGCUGGCGGCAGGCUUAACACAUGCAAGUCGAGCGGAGCGAGGGUGCUUGCACCUUAGCUUAGCGGCGACGGGUGAGUAAUGCUUAGGAAUCUGCCUAUUAGUGGGGGACAACAUUCCGAAAGGAAUGCUAAUACCGCAUACGCCUACGGGGGAAAGCAGGGGAUCUUCGGACCUUGCGCUAAUAGAUGAGCCUAAGUCGGAUUAGCUAGUUGUGGGGUAAAGGCCUACCAAGGCGACGAUCUGUAGCGGGUCUGAGAGGAUGAUCCGCCACACUGGGACUGAGACACGGCCCAGACUCCUACGGGAGGCAGCAGUGGGGAAUAUUGGACAAUGGGCGCAAGCCUGAUCCAGCCAUGCCGCGUGUGUGAAGAAGGCCUUUUGGUUGUAAAGCACUUUAAGCGAGGAGGAGGCUACUUAGAUUAAUACUCUAGGAUAGUGGACGUUACUCGCAGAAUAAGCACCGGCUAACUCUGUG